Molecule: ribosomal RNA, 511 nt
Filed under: uncultured fungus
Lineage: Eukaryota; Fungi
Description: eukaryotic LSU rRNA
Rfam family: 5.8S ribosomal RNA (bases 155-308)
Source: RNAcentral
AAGUCGUAACAAGGUUUCCGUAGGUGAACCUGCGGAAGGAUCAUUAGUGAACGCCCUCACGGGCUUAUAACUAUUCCAAACCUCUGUGAACCGUGCCCUUCGGGGCUAUUUUACAAACAUGGUGUAAUGAACGUCAUAUAUCAUAACAAAACAAGACUUUCAACAACGGAUCUCUUGACUCUCGCAUCGAUGAAGAACGCAGCGAAAUGCGAUAAGUAAUGUGAAUUGCAGAAUUCAGUGAAUCAUCGAAUCUUUGAACGCACCUUGCGCCCUCUGGUAUUCCGGAGGGCAUGCCUGUUUGAGUGUCAUGUAGACUCAAUCCCUCGGGUUUCCGAGGAGAUUGGACUUGGGUGUUGCCGCUCUGCCGGCUCGCCUUAAAAGACUUAGCGGGAUAGCACCGUAGUCGGCGUAAUAAGUUUCGUCGGUGAAGGUUGUGAUGACUGCUUACAAUCGCCCUCGGGCAAUUUUUGACUCUGACCUCAAAUCAGGUAGGACUACCCGCUGAACUUAA